CUUGAAUUAAAAUGCGUGAACUGAGCUACCAUCACUUCAUCCUGUAAAUCCUUUCAUAAUAGGGUCAACCUAGUUCUGAGCUUAUCCGGGUGAUAGUUCAGAUUCAGACUCUGAGUAAGCUGCCUCCUUUGUUAUUGAACAAAUGGAUAUACGAUCAGACUGAAGCAUUUCUCAGUGGAUUGCUUAUGAGGCCUUAUUACCUUGCAGUACUGCUUCAGAAAAAAACAUGGUUGUAAAUUAAGGACACAGUGAAAAACGCCAUUCUCUUAUCUAGAUGGUGUCUCAGCUGGACUCCGCUGACUUAGUAAGCCAACAUCACGUCAGAUGAAAAGAUGAUUUUUUGACCAAGUUGUUGUCGUGCAAAGGUUCAAAGUCAGAAACCUUGUGAUUGCUGCAGAGGAAUCUUCCACCAGGAGUACAAAAUGCUUAGCAAAAUAAUUCUAAUGAUUGCUGAGAAUUAUUCAAGCCUCUCAGUCAUUAAUAUACUUUUAUAGGGGUACUUAAAAUGAAUAAAACUUCCAGCAAAGAGAAAUUCAUACAUGUAUUAACUUUAAAGCAAAUAAUCUAAAAUUAAUCUCUAUUAAUUGUGGAAUAUUUAAUUUUUCAGAAACCUCCAGUAUUUUGUAAAUAUGAUUCUAUUGGACAAACCCUAGGAAAUAUUGUUAUGCAGCUGAAUUCUGGGCUUUGUUUUCUGUUAAAUGGCAACAGAAUAUAACAGCCGGAAACUCAUUUCCUGGGAUUACAAAUGAACUCUCUGAAUCCUUGUUCUAGUUGCUGUCUUCGUGGUUAUGGUAACAUGAAGAAAAACUUCAUGUCUUUGGUGAUAAAAUCUACACAAUGAAUAAGAACAUAUGCAUAAUUUGCAUUGGUUUUGCAAAUCAGCAUAUUCAUAAUAUUUUCUCUCCUUUCAAGACUUUGAGCUGAUGGAGGGCUGGGAUACCACGUCUAAUUGUUAUGGAUGUCCCUACACCAUUUCAGCAUUGCUGUAAAUCGCGGUCCCAGACUGGCCUGUUGAUCCCAGUAUGAGCGCAAGAGACACAUGAAGCGGAGCCAAGUUGAUCCAGCCAAGACCAGCCUGGAUUAGUUUACUCCCAGAUUACAUUCAGACACGGACAACACCUUUUUUCUGACCCUAAACCGUGUUCUGGCACCAAGAGAAGCACUCUAGAAUCUGAGUUCUUUCUGUGAGCUGCUGCCUAAAUUCAGAGUCCUAGAGAAGACUAUUAAUGAUGGUACACAGAAGACAGAGAGAGAUAAACUGCAUCAGUUUCUUUAUGUGCAGGAGGACCUACAUGAUCUUAGAAGAGAACCGACCUUUUAAAACCUCAUUUCAACCUCAACGUAUGACCUCAGAGAAACUCAUUUGCUCUCUGGAAAGUUUUUAAGAUUUACAACAGAGGUACAUUCAUGGAAUGAAUGAUUCCUGAAGAAACACAUUGUUGUGGGUUCAAUUGUGUGUCCUCAAAAGCUAUGGGGGAGCCGUAUUCCCUAGCACUGAUGAAUGUAUCUUACUUGGAAGAAAGGUCUUUGCAGAUGCAAUCAAGUUGAGAUGUGAUCAUAUUCGAAUCAGGCAGGUCCUAACGACCAACAUGACUGGUGUCCUCGUAAGAAGAGAAAAAUGGCAGGUGAAGACAGAGACACACAGGGAGCAGAACAGGGGAUGACAGAAGCAGAGACUGGAGUGAUGGAGCUGUAAGCCAAGGGAUGCCAAGGAUGGGCAGCCACCACCCGAAGUUAGGAAGAGGCAAAGGAGGACUUUAACCACAGUCAAAGAGGGAGUGUGGCUCUUCUAACAUCAUGAUAUCAGACUUUGAGCCUCUAGAACUGUGAGAGAAUAAAUUUCUGUUGCUUUAAGACACCCAGUUAGUGGUACUUUGUUAGGGAGCCCCUAGGAAACUAACACACACAGAAAAGAGAAUUUCAGUUGCAAAUGUAGAAACUGUAAGGUAGUUUUCUUAGGAGAUUCAGGCCUCCACUAAGUAAUUGCCUGAUUGAGAAAGUUACUUGGAUUGCUGGUCUUUUUCUGGAGGAGUGGCAUUUCCAAUUUUGGUGCUGAUCUGUAGACAACUGUUGGAAAUGGUUGUUUCAGUUCAGCAAUUGGUCUUGUCCUUUCUGACUUGAGCAUCGAUCUAAGUAGUUUCCAAGCCCCAUCGCUCUUUAGCAGUCAUAAAGCGAAACUAUCUCCCCUCUCAGAAUGAUGAAAGAGUGCCUUGUAAAAUUACUUGUAGAGACAUGAAUUUUAAAAUAUUUUCUUUUUCCUCUCAUAGGAAAAAAAAUCCUUCAGCUUGGGCAAGUUCUGAUGCAACAUAAAAGUAAUGCUGUUAAAAUUUCAAUCAUUGCCAUGGUUUAGCAGUGUGUUCACAUCAACCACAUGUACCCAGAAAGUCUGUCAACUCAGCAAUAACCAAGAAUUCUGCUUAUUACUCUCACUACAAAAAUCCAUGAAUUAAAUUAUAACUGUUUGCAUUUGAACGUGUGUAAUCACAUUUUUACAUUAUGCUCUUUUAAAAGAACCGUUUAUCUUGUGCUUGUUUCACAAACUUAAAAAUCAAGGAUUCUUUCUUUAUGGGCUGAUGGAAAUAUUCUAAAGUCAGACUGUGGUGAUAUUUCACAACUUUUUAAAUUUAUAAAAAUCAUCGAAUUGUACACUUAAAAUGAGGCAAUUUUGUGGGAUGCAAAUUAUGAAUCAAUAAAGCUGCUUAAAAAAAAAUA
This 2712-nucleotide long non-coding RNA is filed under the name Equus asinus (donkey). Its description in RNAcentral is "lncRNA (ENSEASG00005027760.1)". The record is from RNAcentral. Lineage: Eukaryota; Metazoa; Chordata; Mammalia; Perissodactyla; Equidae.